Molecule: long non-coding RNA, 300 nt
Filed under: Helianthus annuus (common sunflower)
Lineage: Eukaryota; Viridiplantae; Streptophyta; Magnoliopsida; Asterales; Asteraceae
Description: sRNA HanXRQr2_Chr08g0334141
Source: RNAcentral
UUUCUUCAUUCUAUCUAAAAGUGGUUUGUUAUUCAUCUGUUUUUGAGUCAUGGUUUCUUUCAACCGGCGUUACAGACUUACAAUCAUCGAUCAUUUCUUUCAAUCGGUGUUUCAAACUCUUUGAUCGUACCAUAUACAGUUGAUUUCAACAGCAUAAAUACGGAUUCCUCAGGAGCGGGUUGGAUUAGUCCCGAGACAAGAACGAUUGGAUAUUUUUGUACGAUUAUGGAUUAUCUACAGUUUGUGCAUAUGCAGAAUGCAUCAGCAACAGAGUAUGUCUUUCUAACGCGUCUCGCCUGA